Long non-coding RNA from Dreissena polymorpha, 506 nucleotides. RefSeq lists it as uncharacterized. NCBI's taxonomy places the organism in Eukaryota, Metazoa, Mollusca, Bivalvia, Myida, Dreissenidae. The transcript is spliced from 3 exons. The record is from RefSeq and is a predicted model, not a curated record.
CUUAUACCUAUCCAUUGGUAAAAUUACACUGCUUACUCGUAUUAGCAUACAUAACGCGCGUCUAUUCUUUUUCGGAGUGACUAUCUAAGCUCGCUUAUGAUAUAGUGCGAUACCUUAUGCAGCGGUCUAAUUUGGCAAAUUUACGAUAACCACUGCAGCAGUUCACCAUGUGCAAACGGCGGGACAUGUACGGUUGCUGGAACUUCGUUCAGUUGCCGAUGUGGUUCUGGUUUUACGGGAAAUACGUGUUCUAUGAUCGGAGCAAAUACCACCUCGGACACUAUAACGCAUGGAGAAAAAGUGGAAGUUCCAAUGGUUUAAUCGCGAUGUGUGUUUACGCCCCAUGUACGAUUUGCUUUUUAAAUGGUGUAUGUUUCGUUUACGUUCUUGAAAGAUAAUUGUACAAAUAUUGUGUUAUUGCAUUAUAUGGAAUUAAACAGGAACACUUUUAAAUUCAUAUGGCUGAAGACACUUACGAUGUUCGCUAAAAUAAAGUGAAGCAUAUA